AGUUCCCUGCUGUGUGCGUGAUUGACAAGGCAAAGCUUGAGCCAAUAAAUUUUAAAUGGGAACCUAACGUUAAGCGCGGAUUGUAGGGCCUAGGUAGUUUUGGUAAACAUGAACCGCUUAAGAAGGUACCCACCUGUAAAUAACAGGUUCAAAGCUUUAACUUGAUUCACACGACACAGCGGGGUUUUU
This 189-nucleotide non-coding RNA is filed under the name Candidatus Omnitrophota bacterium. RNAcentral describes it as "6S RNA". It matches the Rfam family "6S / SsrS RNA". From Rfam's summary of the family: E. coli 6S RNA was the first non coding RNA to be sequenced, but its function was unknown until recently. Lineage: Bacteria; Pseudomonadati; Candidatus Omnitrophota. The record is from RNAcentral.